AUUGAACGCUGGCGGAAUGCUUUACACAUGCAAGUCGAGCGGCAGCGCGGGGGCAACCCUGGCGGCGAGCGGCGAACGGGUGAGUAACAUAUCGGAACGUACCCCGUCGUGGGGGAUAACACAGCGAAAGCUGUGCUAAUACCGCAUACGACCUGAGGGUGAAAGCGGGGGAUCGCAAGACCUCGCGCGAUGGGAGCGGCCGAUAUCGGAUUAGCUUGUUGGUGAGGUAAAGGCUCACCAAGGCGACGAUCCGUAGCUGGUCUGAGGGGACGACCAGCCACACUGGAACUGAGACACGGUCCAGACUCCUACGGGAGGCAGCAGUGGGGAAUUUUGGGACAAUGGGGGGCAACCCUGAUCCAGCCAUUCCGCGUGAGUGAAGAAGGCCUUCGGUGUAAGA
RNAcentral lists this ribosomal RNA (400 nucleotides) under uncultured bacterium. RNAcentral's name for it is "bacterial SSU rRNA". It matches the Rfam family "Bacterial small subunit ribosomal RNA", at positions 29 to 430 of the family's 1533-position model. The record is from RNAcentral.